UACGUAGGGUGCGAGCGUUGUCCGGAUUUACUGGGCGUAAAGAGCUCGUAGGCGGUUUGUCACGUCGUCUGUGAAAACCCGAGGCUUAACCUCGGGCCUGCAGGCGAUACGGGCAGACUUGAGUACUGUAGGGGAGACUGGAAUUCCUGGUGUAGCGGUGGAAUGCGCAGAUAUCAGGAGGAACACCGGUGGCGAAGGCGGGUCUCUGGGCCGUAACUGACGCUGAGGAGCGAAAGCGUGGGGAGCGAACAGG
Molecule: ribosomal RNA, 253 nt
Filed under: uncultured bacterium
Lineage: Bacteria
Description: partial 16S ribosomal RNA
Rfam family: Bacterial small subunit ribosomal RNA
Source: RNAcentral